UGUUUCGAGCUCAGUUCUACACAGCAUUUACACAAGGCUACAUCAGUUUUAUUUUCUCAUUUUUUUAUUUAUUUUAUUUUCGGAAAAUUUUCUCAAAAUUCAAAGUAUUUUUCGUUUUCGUUUUUUUCGUUUUAUUGUUGUUUUUUUUCAACUUAGUUUGUAAGCUAAAAGUGAAGUUGUCGAGGCAUACAAAAAAAAAAAAAAAAAAAAAAAAAAAAAAAUGAAGAUAUAUAUUUGUAUAUAUUUUCUGCAAUCAUUUGUUGGGCGGCAUGGCAUGCAACACAUACAUAAAUACAAAAGGACGUAUCACACGGAACAAACAGUCGUAUCACACGUAUGGGAAUCAAUCACAAAUUUCAAGAUGUACAAAUAGUUUUCGUAAAUUCCGGUAAAGACCACAUUUGGAAAUGCAAUUGUUCAGCAAUUGGUGUUAAAAUUAUCUGUUUAUCUUUGGAA
This is a long non-coding RNA of Drosophila mojavensis, 456 nucleotides long. RefSeq lists it as uncharacterized. The record is from RefSeq and is a predicted model, not a curated record. NCBI's taxonomy places the organism in Eukaryota, Metazoa, Arthropoda, Insecta, Diptera, Drosophilidae. The transcript is spliced from 3 exons.